RNAcentral lists this ribosomal RNA (987 nucleotides) under Enterobacteriaceae bacterium RAMS2-9. RNAcentral's name for it is "bacterial SSU rRNA". It matches the Rfam family "Bacterial small subunit ribosomal RNA", at positions 485 to 1472 of the family's 1533-position model. The record is from RNAcentral. Lineage: Bacteria; Pseudomonadati; Pseudomonadota; Gammaproteobacteria; Enterobacterales; Enterobacteriaceae.
AAAAAGUUUGAGUUUUUUUUGUUCCAGACCCCACAUUACUAAACAGGAGGGAAAGAUUACCUUGAAUCUUUUGUAUUAAAGUGCGUGCUGGAGGCAUUUCAAGUUGGAUGUGAAAUCCCCAGGUCAAACCCGGGAAAUGCUUUCGAAACUGGCAGGAUAGAAUCCUGUAGAGGGGGGUAGAAUGCCAGGUGUAGCGGUGAAAUGUGUAGAGAUCCGGAGGAAUACCGGUGGCGAAGGGGGCCCCCUGGACAAAGACUGACGGUCAGGUGGGAAAGCGUGGGGAGCAACCAGGAUUAGAUACCCUGGUAGUCCACGCCGUAAACCAUGUCAACUUGGAGGUUGUGCCCUUGAGGCGUGGCUUCCGGAGCUAACGCGUUAAGUCGACCGCCUGGGGAGUACGGCCGCAAGGUUAAAACUCAAAUGAAUUGACGGGGGCCCGCACAAGCGGUGGAGCAUGUGGUUUAAUUCGAUGCAACGCGAAGAACCUUACCUACUCUUGACAUCCAGAGAACUUACCAGAGAUGCUUUGGUGCCUUCGGGAACUCUGAGACAGGUGCUGCAUGGCUGUCGUCAGCUCGUGUUGUGAAAUGUUGGGUUAAGUCCCGCAACGAGCGCAACCCUUAUCCUUUGUUGCCAGCGGUUAGGCCGGGAACUCAAAGGAGACUGCCAGUGAUAAACUGGAGGAAGGUGGGGAUGACGUCAAGUCAUCAUGGCCCUUACGAGUAGGGCUACACACGUGCUACAAUGGCGCAUACAAAGAGAAGCGACCUCGCGAGAGCAAGCGGACCUCAUAAAGUGCGUCGUAGUCCGGAUUGGAGUCUGCAACUCGACUCCAUGAAGUCGGAAUCGCUAGUAAUCGUAGAUCAGAAUGCUACGGUGAAUACGUUCCCGGGCCUUGUACACACCGCCCGUCACACCAUGGGAGUGGGUUGCAAAAGAAGUAGGUAGCUUAACCUUCGGGAGGGCGCUUACCACUUUGUGAUUCAU